GGAGUUAGCCGGUGCUUCUUCUGCGAGUAACGUCACAGAUGUAAGGUAUUAACUUACACCCUUUCCUCCUCGCUGAAAGUGCUUUACAACCCGAAGGCCUUCUUCACACACGCGGCAUGGCUGCAUCAGGGUUUUCCCCCAUUGUGCAAUAUUCCCCACUGCUGCCUCCCGUAGGAGUCUGGGCCGUGUCUCAGUCCCAGUGUGGCUGAUCAUCCUCUCAGACCAGCUAGGGAUCGUCGCCUAGGUGAGCCUUUACCUCACCUACUAGCUAAUCCCACCUGGGCUUAUCCAUCAGCGCAAGGCCCGAAGGUCCCCUGCUUUCCCCCGUAGGGCGUAUGCGGUAUUAGCAGUCGUUUCCAACUGUUAUCCCCCACAAAUGGGCAAAUUCCCAGGCAUUACUCACCCGUCCGCCGCUCGUCAUCUUCAAAAGCAAGCUUUUGAAAUGUUACCGCUCGACUUGCAUGUGUUAGGCCUGCCGCCAGCGUUCAAUCUGAGCCAGAAUCAAACUCUGA
Molecule: ribosomal RNA, 512 nt
Filed under: uncultured bacterium
Lineage: Bacteria
Description: partial 16S ribosomal RNA
Source: RNAcentral